GGAGGUCAGGCCCCUGCCCUCCCUCAACCAUUGGACCUGUGCCCCGCCUUAGCACCAUAGGGUUGGACUCACCCCAACUUCUUUCUCCCAACACCUGACCCUCCCUCCUCCUGGUCUCCCUCCACUGAGCCCCUGACACCUCCACAGGGCAGAUUUCCAGGCUGAGAGCUAAGCUGACAGCCAGGCUAGGACCCUGAGCUCUCACCUUACUUCCCUACCUGGCUGGCACUUGCCCUGCCCCAUGCCCAACCCAGCGCCACCCCUACCUCCCAGUCCAUGCAAGAGGUCCGAGUUUCCAAAUUAGGUUUUUGGCCAGGUGCAGUGGCUCACAACUGUAAUCCCAGCACUUUGGGAGGCUGAGGCGAGCAGAUCCCUUGAGCCCAGGGCUUUGAGACUAGCCUGGGUUGAACAUGACAAGACUCCCUGUCUACAAAAAAUACAAAAAUUAGCUGGGCACGGUGGUGCGCAUCUGAAAUCUCAGCUACCUGGGAGGUAAGAUGUGAAGAUUGCUUGAGCCUGGGAGGUCAAGGCUGCAGUGAGCUGUGGUCACCCCACUGCACUCUGCCUGGGCAAUAGAGCGAGAAAAAAAUUUUUUUAAAAUUAGGUUUUCAUAAUUAUCUUUUUCAUCACUAUGAAAGCAAUCCUUCCACACCAAGGGAAACAUUGAGAAAAUACCAAGUUUUAGAAAGGCGAAAUGAAAAUAAAUCUCCUAACUUCCCAUCACCCAUAUAAGCAGUUGGCUUAUAUGUUAUAUCCAACUGCUUCUGUGGAACUGAGGGAAACCCAGAUAACCCCCAUAUGGACUUGGCUCUGAGCCGCUGGGCCACCCUCCCAGCCUGCCGCCACCGAGGCUGGUGCUGCUGGGCCUCACAGUCCAUCCUGGAGUCUGGUUUCCCGGAAUCUGACCUGAUGGAGAAUUUCUCUCCCCCUCAGCCCUUGGCUUGGUGUUAGUUAGGAAAAUAGGCUCCUAAUUCCUACCUUGAGCCCCCUAAAUAUAGGUCUCUUCAUUUAUCAUCACCAAUCAUCCCCCCACAAAAGAGGUAACCAUACCCCCUGGUGGGGGUGGCACCUGGUGGUGGUAAAACAGACCCUGGGUCUUCUGGCCCAGAUAAGGGCUGGCGGGGUCACUUUUAACCAUGCUGCCACCAGGGACUCAGGUCCUGGUGCAACUGUCCCCUCAGUUCCGUGGUCGCGUGGCUGGGCUGUGUGGUGACUUUGAUGGAGAUGCCAGUAAUGAUCUGCGGAGCCGCCAGGGCGUCCUGGAGCCCACAGCUGAACUGGCCGCCCACUCCUGGCGCCUCAGCCCCCUCUGUCCUGAGCCAGGAGACCUGCCACACCCCUGCACGAUGAACGCACAUUGGGCUGGUUGGGCUCGGGCCCGCUGUGGGGCGCUGCUGCAGCCGCUCUUCACAUCAUGCCACGCGGAAGUCCCCCCGCAGCAGCACUAUGAGUGGUGCCUGUAUGACGCCUGUGGGUAAGGAGGGGCCAACCUGGAGUAGGGUAGAGGUGGGGGUGCCGGGACUGAAUGCUUCCUCCCACAGCUGCAACUCAGGGGGUGACUGUGAGUGCCUCUGCUCGGCCACUGCCACCUAUGCAGAUGAGUGUGCCCGGCAUGGGCACCACGUGUGCUGGCGUAGCCAGGAGCUCUGCCCCCUGCAGUGUGAAGGGGGACAGGUAUAUGAGGCCUGUGGCCCCACAUGUCCCCCCACCUGCCAUGAGCAGCAUCCUGAGCCCGGGUGGCACUGCCAGGUGGUGGCCUGUGUGGAGGGCUGCUUCUGCCCCGAGGGGACUCUGCUGCACGGAGGAGCCUGCUUGGAGCCAGCUUCCUGCCCCUGUGAGUGGGGCCGCAACUCCUUCCCGCCGGGGUCUGUGCUGCAAAAGGACUGCGGGAACUGCACGUGCCAGGAAGGUCAAUGGCAUUGUGGGGGUGACGGUGGCCACUGUGAGGAGCUUGUGCCUGCCUGUGCAGAGGGAGAGGCCGUGUGCCAAGAGAAUGGGCACUGUGUGCCCCAUGGGUGGCUUUGUGACAACCAGGACGACUGUGGCGAUGGCUCUGAUGAGGAGGGUUGUGCCGCCCCAGGCUGUGGGGAGGGGCAGAUGACUUGCAGCUCCGGCCACUGCCUGCCCCUGGCCCUGCUCUGUGACGGCCAGGAUGACUGUGGAGAUGGCACGGAUGAGCAGAGCUGUCCGUGCCCCCAGGGCUUGCUGGCCUGUGCCGAUGGACGCUGCCUGCCGCCGGCCCUGCUCUGCGAUGGGCAUCCUGACUGUACGGACGCCGCCGACGAGGAGUCCUGUCUGGGGCAGGUGACCUGCGUCCCCGGGGAGGUGUCCUGUGUCGAUGGCACCUGCCUGGGGGCCAUCCAGCUGUGUGACGGAGUCUGGGACUGCCCAGAUGGAGCCGAUGAGGGGCCGGGACACUGCCCCCUACCUUCUCUGCCCACGCCUCCUGCCAGCACCUUGCCUGGCCCCUCCCCUGGCUCCCUGGACACUGCGUCAAGUCCCCUGGCCAGCGCCAGCCCUGCGCCACCCUGCGGCCCCUUCGAGUUUCGGUGCGGCAGCGGCGAGUGCACCCCGCGGGGCUGGCGCUGCGACCAGGAGGAAGACUGCGCCGACGGCAGCGACGAGCGCGGCUGCGGAGGGCCCUGCGCGCCGCACCACGCGCCCUGCGCCCGCGGCCCUCACUGCGUGUCCCCCGAGCAGCUGUGCGACGGCGUGCGGCAGUGUCCCGACGGCUCGGACGAGGGCCCCGACGCCUGCGGUGAGGCUCCCGCGCCCCCGGCCAUGCGCGGCCCCCCUGGCCAAGCCGGCGGGCCCACCUCUUCCCGAGCGCCAUCCCCACCUUCGCCUCCUGAGGCACAGGGAGAGGGCAGGAAGGGACGGGAGCGGAGGAGGACACAUCUCACGGUGCCCGCAGGCUCCACCCAGCUGCCUCCGUGCCCUGGCUUCUUUCCCUGUGGUGUGGCUCCGGGGCUGUGCCUGACCCCUCAGCAGCUCUGUGAUGGGAUCCCAGACUGUCCCCAGGGCGAGGAUGAGCUGGACUGCGGGGGGCUGCCAGCCCUGGGAGGCCCCAACAGGACAGGGCUUCCCUGCCCAGAAUACACCUCCCCCAAUGGCACCUGCAUAGGCUUCCAGCUGGUGAGGGUGGGAGUGGAUGGAGGAGAUGGCAGUGCCAUGUUGCCUCCCAGCACAAGAGCCCUGACCCCACUCCCUCCCCAGGUGUGUGAUGGGCAGCCUGACUGUGGAAGGCCAGGGCAGGUGGGCCCCUCCCCAGAAGAGCAGGGUUGUGGGGCCUGGGGCCCCUGGAGCCCAUGGGGGCCCUGCAGCCGGACGUGUGGGCCCGGGGGCCAGGGCCGGAGCUGCCGCUGCUCCCCACUCGGCCUCCUGGUGCUACAGAACUGCCCAGGGCCUGAGCACCAGUCUCAGGCCUGCUUCACGGCAGCCUGCCCAGUGGACGGUGAAUGGAGCGCCUGGUCCCCCGGUCUGUGUGCUCUGAGCCGUGCAGGGGCACCAUGACGCGGCAACGGCAGUGCCACCCACCCCAGAAUGGGGGCCGCACCUGUGCUGCACUGCCCGGAGGCCCGCACAGCACCCGCCAGACCAAGCCUUGCCCUCAGGACGGCUGCCCCAAUGCCACCUGCUCUGGGGAGCUGAUGUUCCAGCCCUGUGCCCCCUGCCCACUGACCUGUGAUGACAUAUCUGGCCAGGUCACGUGCCCACCUGAUCGGCCCUGCGGCAGCCCGGGCUGCUGGUGCCCAGAAGGGCAGGUGCUGGGCAGCGAGGGGUGGUGUGUGUGGCCCCGGCAGUGCCCCUGCCUGGUGGACGGUGCCCGCUACUGGCCCGGGCAACGCAUCAAGGCCGACUGCCGGCUCUGCAUCUGCCAAGACGGAUGGCCCCGACGCUGCCGACUCAACCCGGACUGCGCUGUGGACUGUGGCUGGUCCUCCUGGUCACCCUGGGCUGAGUGCCUGGGCCCCUGUGGAAGCCAGAGCAUCCAGUGGUCCUUCCGGAGCCCCAACAACCCCCGCCCCUCCGGCCGAGGUCGCCAGUGCCGUGGCAUCCACCGCAAGGCACGCAGGUGCCAGACGGAGCCCUGUGAGGGGUGUGAGCAUCAGGGCCAGGUCCACCGUGUCGGGGAACGCUGGCGUGGGGGCCCCUGCAGGGUGUGCCAGUGUCUGCACAACCUCACCGCACGCUGCUCACCCUACUGCCCGCUCGGCAGCUGCCCCCAGGGCUGAGUCUUGGUGGAGGGGACGAGAGAAUCAUGCUGCCACUGUGCCCUACCUGGAGAGAACCAGAUGGUCCAGCCCAUGGCCACUCCUGCCGCAGCUCCGGCUCCCAGUCCCCAGAUCAGAUUCCCUUUGGCCACUUACAUUCUGCCUCCGCCAGGAGUCCCCUGCUAUUUUCCCCUGGGGCUGGCGGGACUGGCUGAGGGGAGUCUGCAUGCAUCGUCCCAGCAGCUGGAACACCCCACCCAGGCUGCCCUCCUGGGGGCUCCCACCCAGGGGCCCAGCCCUCAGGGAUGGCACGCUGGAGGGGAUGCUUAUGCCAAGUGGCACACUCGGCCCCAUUACCUGCAGCUGGACCUGCUUCAGCCUCGGAACCUCACUGGCAUCAUAGUGCCGGAGGCUGGCUCCUCCAACGCAUAUGCCAGCAGCUUCUCACUCCAGUUCAGCAGCAAUGGUCUACACUGGCAUGACUAUUGUGACCUCCUGCCUGGCAUCUUGCCCCUGCCCAAGGUAUCACCCGCCCAAGGCCGAUGGGGCCAGCAGCCCACCAUGCCCUUUUGUGGGUUCCAUAGUCUUUGUCCCCAAGGGCCUUCCAGUGUCCCCGAGGGGCAUGGCCUGCAUUCGAUGCUUGUUGAAUACCUGGUGAGUAGCAGGGACUGUGCUCUGUGGAGCCGAGGCUUGGGUGCCACUGUCACAUGGAUGCUGGAAACCAUCCAAGUGGCUUAGACUCAGGGCAGGUAUGUGAAGCCUGCAAGGGAGAGAGGAUGGGGAGACACCAAGUUCACUGAGGGCCUCCGGGAGCCCAGACCCACGCAGGUCUUCGUGGAGAGCAGCCUGGGCACAGCCCUGCCCUCAGGGGGUUUGCAUCCUUCCCGGAGACAAACUGCACGAGGCGGUAGGAAUCAGUCCAUGCUGUGUUAAGUCUUAACUGUUUCAGGAGCACCUGCUCUGUGCCAGGUGCCGAGCCAGGCCCUGGGGACACAGCAGUGAACAGGACCUGGCCUUUGCCCUAGGGGCACCUCCAGCUUAGUGGGAGGAGCUCAGUCCAGGACCAGCCCCCUCCAGCCUUGAGAGGCCCAAAUGCCUACUGCCAGGGUGGGGGGCAUGGCUCUGGGAGGGGCCGUGAAAACUGGGGAAAAAGUGGGGUCACUCAAAGUCAUGAGGUCAGCCUGAAAAAGAGGUGAAGCUUAGUCAUCAGCAUCCUCUGCUGGCAGCUUUUCCCCAGAAACUGGGAUGACCUGGACCCUGCCGUAUGGACUUUCGGCCGCAUGGUGCAGGCGAGGUUUGUCAGGGUGUGGCCCCACGAUGUCCACCACAGCGAUGUCCCCCUGCAGGUGGAGCUGCUGGGCUGCGAGCCAGGUACAGGUUGCGCAGGGGUGGGCAGGGCAGGAGAGAGAGGGGCCAUGGGAGGAGCCCUCAGCCAUACGUCCUCCACACAGGGUCCCCACCGGCACCUCUGUGCCCAGGGGUUGGAUUCCGCUGUGCCAGUGGUGAGUGUGUCCUGAGAGGGGGCCCAUGUGACGGUGCUCUGGACUGCGAGGAUGGCUCGGAUGAGGAGGGCUGUGUGUUGCUGCCUGAGGGCACUGGCAGAUUCCAUUCCACAGCCAAGACCCUGGCCCUCUCCUCUGCCCAGCCGGGGCAGCUGCUGCACUGGCCCAGGGAGGUGAGUGUAGAGCCUUGGGCCCAGAGGGUGGAGUUGGGGGACAGGGACCUCGCCUCACAGCCUCACCAGCCCUGCUCCUGCACCAGCUGGCGGCGUCUCCCCUCUCCGCAGCAUUUCCUCCUGUGUGUUCCCUGGUACUGCUCUCAGGAGCCUUGCCGGUGCCUGGCAGAGGGCUGGGGGCUGGGGCAAUACAGAGCUGCAGAGACGUGCAGGCAGAGCGAGGGCCCAGAGGGGUUUGGGGACAAGAGAAGCCUGCACCCCUGAUAGGGAGCUUAUGCCCACGGGGCAGGCACCAGGGCAUCUGGUGCUCAGAGCCGAAAAGAGCCCUGUGCCCGGGUCCCCAGGGGCUUCCCGGACAAGACUUGAGGGCUGGAGAGGGGUGUCUAUAGUGUGGAGAAGGUGCGGAGCACCUUCCCACCUGGAAUGGCCUGCUCAGCAACCCAGAGUGUGUGGGUGGGGUAGGGGGUAGGGGGUGGACAUGUGCAUUGGGUGGGGGAAGGGGAGUUUGAGGGGCAAGAGCUGAAAUGGAUCACCCUGGUGGGCUGCUGAGAAUAAGGUCCCUGAGCUCCUUGAGGGCAGUGGGCUGGUGCCUGGAAGCGCAGUUGCAUACUCAGCUCUGCCCUGGGCUGCGGGGGAGGAAGAUGGACAGGAAGCAGUGCUGGGACAGGAGCGCCCAGGCUGUAUCCUCAGGGGAUGGGAGCUGCCCUCAGGGCCGGGGGCUGUGCAGGGUGCUGAGCCCUCUCCCUCUGCAGGGCCUGGUAGAGACUGAGCACUGGCCUCCCGGGCAGGAAUCCCCCACGUCCCCGACAGGUGUGUGCACAGACUCCAGGCCUUCUCCCCAAACUCUUGUCCCACCUGUUCUUCCAGAGCCAGGGGCAGUUACAUCUCAGGGGUUCAAAUCCCCUGACCCCUGACUUCUCCACAACUGAGAGAGUCACGGGGUUGGCUCAGGGAGCAGACACUGGUCACUUUGGACAUGGCCAGGUCCUGCCCCUGCCCACCCCCUGGGAUUCCAAGGUAUGUGGCUGUAGGUUGGCGGGGCAGGUAGCUCCAGGCCAGCUCCCAGGACUGAGCCGGUGCCCUGUAAUGUGGCUGCCUCCCCAGAUGCCUGGUCAGGACAGGUCUCCCCCAUGGCGGUGGGAGGCCACUUGGCUCCAGCCUGCACUCCCUCUGCUCACCAUCCAUGGAGCCAGGCCCCCGUUUCUGAAGCGUUUGCUGGCAUCAAAUGUCUCUUAAGUGGGCACGGGGGUUGGAUGUGGUCACCAAGUUGGCAUGCUCCUAUAUAAGGAAGGAAGAGGCUCUGCCUGGUUGUGAACCGGCUUCCCUGGAGCUGCCUGAUUAUUCACCUGUGUGCUAGCCAGCAGAGAGCUGCCUCCUGGAGGGCCUGCUGUCCUGCGGGGAUUGGGGGGUGGUAAGAGGGUUUUUGGUGUGGGUGAAUUCUUGCCCUCAUUUCUAGCCCCUAUGGGAGGGAUCUGGGUGAGGCUUGGGGCAGCAGGGGCUGGAGAGGAAGGAGGGUGAGGGCACCAGGUCUGCUCUUUCAUUCUGGCUCAUCCUCCCCUGGGCCUCAGCUUUUCCCCAUCUGUGACACUAGGAGGCCUUAUAGACAACUGUGACCCCUCCCUGUGAAUUCUGAUGGAAGUUAUUCAGAACCUGGCCGGACUGUUUCUGUGUCUUUUGUGAAAAGCAGACAAAGCAAUUGAUGCCACCCCUCAGAUCCAUAACAUGCAGACCCAUGGGAUACAUUAUAAUUUCAUUCUCAGUCUGGUU
This 7656-nucleotide small RNA is filed under the name Pan troglodytes (chimpanzee). Its description in RNAcentral is "retained intron". The record is from RNAcentral. Lineage: Eukaryota; Metazoa; Chordata; Mammalia; Primates; Hominidae.